CUACAGAGGGUGCAAGCGUUAUUCGGAAUUACUGGGCGUAAAGCGCGCGUAGGCGGAUGAUUAAGUCAGUUGUGAAAGCCCUGGGCUCAACCUAGGAACUGCAUCUGAUACUGGUCGUCUAGAGUUUAAGAGAGGGAAGUGGAAUUCCAGGUGUAGCAGUGAAAUGCGUAGAUAUCUGGAGGAACAUCAGUGGCGAAGGCGGCUUCCUGGCUUAAAACUGACGCUGAGGUGCGAAAGCGUGGGUAGCGAACGGGAUUAGAUACCCGAGUAGUCC
Molecule: ribosomal RNA, 274 nt
Filed under: uncultured bacterium
Lineage: Bacteria
Description: partial 16S ribosomal RNA
Rfam family: Bacterial small subunit ribosomal RNA
Source: RNAcentral